This is a non-coding RNA of Pelobates cultripes (western spadefoot toad), 263 nucleotides long. Lineage: Eukaryota; Metazoa; Chordata; Amphibia; Anura; Pelobatidae. The record is from the annotation of a GenBank genome assembly.
AUCUAAUUAUUAAAGUGAACAGAACCAUUAGCAUUUUAAUUUCGGAACUAGCCUUAUUUAAAAAAACUCCCGGAGUCCGUUGAUGGAUCAGAUAAAAUAAUCAUAGGCCACAUUCUGAUCGCUGCUACAUCCUGUUUACCAAAAUGUGCCAUCUCUCAGAGAAGAUUUUAAUUUGAUUCUAGAAAACAAGGCACACAAAUUAUCGCAUAGAGCUAAUAUACAUGGUUUCCCAAUAUUAAAAUAUAAUUGGGAUAAAUGGGAAG